CCUACGGGAGGCUGCAGUGGGGAAUAUUGGGCAAUGGGCGCAAGCCUGACCCAGCAACGCCGCGUGAAGGAAGAAGGCUUUCGGGUUGUAAACUUCUUUUGUCAGGGACGAAGCAAGUGACAGUACCUGCGGAAUAAGCCACGGCUAACUACGUGCCAGCAGCCGCGGUAAUACGUAGGUGGCAAGCGUUAUCCGGAUUUACUGGGUGUAAGGGAGCGUAGACGGCGCUGCAAGUCCGGAGUGAAAGCCCAGGGCUUAACCAUGGUACUGCUCUGGAAACUGUGGAGCUUGAGUGCGGGAGGGGCAGGCGGAAUGCAUGGUGUAGCGGUGAAAUGCGUAGAUAUCAGGAGGAACACCGGCGGCGAAGGCGGCCGGCUGGACCGUAACUGACGUUGAGGCUCGAAAGCGUGGGGAGCAAACAGGAUUAGAUACCCUGGUAGUC
This 442-nucleotide ribosomal RNA is filed under the name uncultured bacterium. Its description in RNAcentral is "partial 16S ribosomal RNA". It matches the Rfam family "Bacterial small subunit ribosomal RNA", at positions 338 to 795 of the family's 1533-position model. The record is from RNAcentral.